This 465-nucleotide ribosomal RNA is filed under the name Vreelandella stevensii. Its description in RNAcentral is "partial 16S ribosomal RNA". It matches the Rfam family "Bacterial small subunit ribosomal RNA", at positions 338 to 795 of the family's 1533-position model. The record is from RNAcentral. Lineage: Bacteria; Pseudomonadati; Pseudomonadota; Gammaproteobacteria; Oceanospirillales; Halomonadaceae.
CCUACGGGGAGCUGCAGUGGGGAAUAUUGGACAAUGGGCGAAAGCCUGAUCCAGCCAUGCCGCGUGUGUGAAGAAGGCCUUCGGGUUGUAAAGCACUUUCAGUGGGGAAGAAAGCCUUGGGGCUAAUACCCUCGAGGAAGGACAUCACCCACAGAAGAAGCACCGGCUAACUCCGUGCCAGCAGCCGCGGUAAUACGGAGGGUGCGAGCGUUAAUCGGAAUUACUGGGCGUAAAGCGCGCGUAGGCGGUCUGAUAAGCCGGUUGUGAAAGCCCCGGGCUCAACCUGGGAACGGCAUCCGGAACUGGCAGGCUAGGGUGCAGGAGAGGAAGGUAGAAUUCCCGGUGUAGCGGUGAAAUGCGUAGAGAUCGGGAGGAAUACCAGUGGCGAAGGCGGCCUUCUGGACUGACACUGACGCUGAGGUUCGAAAGCGUGGGUAGCAAACAGGAUUAGAUACCCGGGUAGUC